Molecule: ribosomal RNA, 250 nt
Filed under: uncultured bacterium
Lineage: Bacteria
Description: partial 16S ribosomal RNA
Rfam family: Bacterial small subunit ribosomal RNA
Source: RNAcentral
UACGGAGGGUGCAAGCAUUGAUCGGAAUUACUGGGCGUAAAGGGCGCGUAGGCGGUCUAGGAAGUCAGAUGUGAAAUUUCGGGGCUCAACCCCGAAGCUGCAUUUGAAACUUUUAGGCUAGAGGGUAAUUAGGGAAAACGGAAUUCCACGUGUAGCGGUGAAAUGCGUAGAUAUGUGGAAGAACACCGGUGGUGAAGACGGUUUUCUGGGUUAUACCUGACGCUGAGGCGCGAAAGCUAGGGGAGCAAAC